CUGCUUUGCAGUUUGCACCUCUCCACGCUGCGUGCAUUCAUUAAAAUCAAUUGUUUGAUUGACCUCUUCUGGACCAUCAUUGUUUUACUCUCGUCCUCAAUUUCUUACCCGUAACAUUUGGUGCAUUGGCCGAGGGUUGAGGGGAGAGACUUGGAGAUUGAGACCGAGAGGGUCCGAGGCGCUCGAACGAGCAGACACGAGUCAGUGGUCGAAGUGAGUGGACAUAAGCCGGCUUAUUCAAAGGUAAGGCACUACCUGUUGAAUUAUUUCCAAACAGUGCUGAAUUGGUUCUGACAAAAUUGAAAGUCUACUCACUGAAAAUUACUGGUAAAAGUCUGUUUUGAUUUUGGUGAAAAUCUCAUGAGAAUUGAAGUUGAAGUAAUGAUAAUGUAAGGUUAAGUGACAGUACUGAUUAAAGGAAAAGCAGUUGGACUGCUACGAGGAUUUAAAUGCAGUUGGACUGCUAAGGAAAGAGAAUUUAAAGUAGUUGGACUACUGAAUUUAGGAAAUAGGUCAUUUGAAAUCUGUAUAUGGUCAUACAGUUAUAAUUGAAUACAAAGCUGGGCUUGGGCAUCAAUAAAGUGGGUUGGUGGUUUCAUAGGAUGUCUUUAAAACGUAAUUAAAUUCAUGUAGAACGGAACUGUGGAAAGUUCUAGGAAGUGCAUCGCUCAGAGGUAACGCUUGCCGGAGUCAGGGACGCUUAGACUCCGUCCUCAGUUGAGGGAUAGUCAGUUGGUCACUGUGGAGCUUGGGGCACUCCAGAAUAACUAGUGGUUGGACCACUUUGCCGUUUGGAACGGUUUAUGCACUUUUUUGGGUAGUAAAGGUUGGACCUUGGGCGUUGGACGCUUUUAAAUUGACUUAGGAACUUUAGCAAUUAGACCAGACACAGGUUGGACCUGAUACUGGGUCAUUGAUUAUCAAAAACUUGGAGUUUGUCCCUUGGAGGGUUAAUUCAAAUUUUGUCUAAAUUAUGUAGGUUGUGCAAUUUAAGGCCUUGUAAAUAUUAUUUAAUUUAUCAGACGUCUCUGUGUUAUAAUUUCUAUGUUUGUAUAUAGGCUCUGUCUGCCACGGGCACUGCAGCAGGCUGUUUAUUUUGAGAGUGUGUCUGUGUUUAUGUAAAUGAGAUGCCUGUGACUUAUUUAGAGUGACAUUUCCUGUUUACUAAUGAGUGGCUAAUGACUGACUGCAGAGCCAGGGUUAAGGACGACUUCAAUCUGUGUUUUAAGGAAGAAAUGCAGUUUAUGUUUAUUAUAUUUGUGUGACUGUUGAUUAUGAUAAGUAUUUCAUGAUAACUGUAGAAUAUGAGUAUGGGGUUUGCUUGACACGUGUCUGUACUAGGUAAAACUGUGUAAAACUGAUAGGAAGUUUAUAGGGACUGCUACACAUGGCUGAUGCCUGUAUUUAAGACGCUGGAGUUGUUUAUUACAAUAUUGUAAGUAAAGUUUUAUUUCUUGCCAUGACUGUAUGACUUUUGCGGGGUUUUGAGAUAGGAUACAUAAACUGUUGAUACUUAAGACCGUUACCUGGGUUCUGAGAACUGAAAUUGAAUUUGAGAUAAUUUAAUUAAUAAAUAUGUCUGCAAGCCAUGUGUGUUUUGGGGUGUCGAAGUAAGAUGUUUUAGGAUUUUUAGAUGGGUUUUGUUUCAGUUUGAGAUAAUAUAUAUACAGUUACAUUUUCUGUGUGUGUUGUUGAGUGACAACAUGCGCAGUUUAAAUUGGGCGCUGUUCCUUCCUCUUUUAGUUUCAAAACACAAAGGCUGUGAGAUUAAAA
Molecule: long non-coding RNA, 1773 nt
Organism: Oreochromis aureus
Lineage: Eukaryota; Metazoa; Chordata; Actinopteri; Cichliformes; Cichlidae
Source: Ensembl